AUUGAACGCUGGCGGCAUGCUUUACACAUGCAAGUCGAACGGUAACAGGCCGCAAGGUGCUGACGAGUGGCGAACGGGUGAGUAAUGCAUCGGAACGUGCCCAGUCGUGGGGGAUAACGCAGCGAAAGCUGUGCUAAUACCGCAUACGAUCUAUGGAUGAAAGCGGGGGACCGUAAGGCCUCGCGCGAUUGGAGCGGCCGAUGUCAGAUUAGGUAGUUGGUGGGGUAAAGGCUCACCAAGCCAACGAUCUGUAGCUGGGCUGAGAGGACGACCAGCCACACUGGGAAUGAGACACGGUCCAGACUCCUACGGGAGGCAGCAGUGGGGAAUUUUGGACAAUGGGGGCAAGCCUGAUCCAGCAAUGCCGCGUGCAGGAAGAAGGCCUUCGGGUUGUAAACUGCUUUUGUACGGAACGAAGAGGUUUGGGUUAAUACCCUGGGCCGAUGACGGUACCGUAAGAAUAAGCACCGGCUAACUACGUGCCAGCCGCCGCGGUAA
This 498-nucleotide ribosomal RNA is filed under the name uncultured bacterium. Its description in RNAcentral is "partial 16S ribosomal RNA". It matches the Rfam family "Bacterial small subunit ribosomal RNA", at positions 29 to 523 of the family's 1533-position model. The record is from RNAcentral.